This 590-nucleotide long non-coding RNA is filed under the name Bos taurus (domestic cattle). Its description in RNAcentral is "long non-coding RNA NONBTAT005548". The record is from RNAcentral. Lineage: Eukaryota; Metazoa; Chordata; Mammalia; Artiodactyla; Bovidae.
UCAAUAUUCUUCAUAGUGAUUAUUUUUUAAAAAGUAUUCCUUCCUUUUAGUCAGGGUUAAUUCCUUCUUAGUGAGAGUCAGUGCAUAAUCUUAGAAAUCACCUUUGACUUUUAUGGAGGAAGGUUGAUAUUAAGCAAAAAAGAAAAAAAGAAAUAUUUUUUAGAGAAGGUAACCUAACUGACUAGAUUUGAAAUUCUCCAUAUCAACCAUGCAUCUUUUUAGAGUCGAUUUCCCCACCCUAUGAAACGUACCUCUCACCCCCAGCAGAACUGUGACCCUCCAAAUCCCUCCCCAUGAAGUGAUUUUGGGAAGAUGUGUAGAUUGCAAAAGCAAACUGUCCUCUACACUUCUUGGGUUCUUUAACCUGUGUCAGAGGUGGAGUUCAUCCCAGCUCACCUUGUGCCUCUUGGCCUUCCUAAUGGAAUGUGAAAUUAACAUGCCCAUUGUCCAUUUCAAAAUCUAAUUCCUCUGAAAGUGUAGGGAUUUUCAAAAUAGAAAGGGCAGGGCCAAUUGAUGUGACAGGGUCCCCACUAACAAUGAAAAAAGUUAGUUGAGGAGGAAACUGCAAGCACUGGUCAGCCUAAUUAACC